RNAcentral lists this ribosomal RNA (116 nucleotides) under Pteropus alecto (black flying fox). The record is from RNAcentral. Lineage: Eukaryota; Metazoa; Chordata; Mammalia; Chiroptera; Pteropodidae.
GUCUACAGCCAUGCCACCCUGAACAAGCCCGAUGUCUGAUCUCGGAAGUUAAGCGGGGUUAGGCCUGGUUAAUAUUUGGGUGGGAGACCACCUAGGAAAACCAGGUGCUAUAGGCA